GAUAGUUUUCAGUUGGUAAUACAAGUUAGGAUAGAAAUGAAUUCGGUACAUUUUGGACUCCCCAAAACAGGAUAGAUAAUGGAAUAUUUUCACUGAAUUUGUCAAAUGCAAAUGGACUAGACA
This is a non-coding RNA of Peromyscus maniculatus bairdii (prairie deer mouse), 123 nucleotides long. NCBI's taxonomy places the organism in Eukaryota, Metazoa, Chordata, Mammalia, Rodentia, Cricetidae. The record is from RefSeq and is a predicted model, not a curated record.